This 1333-nucleotide ribosomal RNA is filed under the name uncultured bacterium. Its description in RNAcentral is "bacterial SSU rRNA". It matches the Rfam family "Bacterial small subunit ribosomal RNA", at positions 28 to 1381 of the family's 1533-position model. The record is from RNAcentral.
GACGAACGCUGGCGGCACGCUUAACACAUGCAAGUCGAACGAGAGAAGAGAAGCUUGCUUUUCUGAUCUAGUGGCGGACGGGUGAGUAACACGUGAGCAAUCUGCCUUUCAGAGGGGGAUACCGAUUGGAAACGAUCGUUAAUACCGCAUAACAUAAUUGAACCGCAUGAUUUGAUUAUCAAAGAUUUAUCGCUGAAAGAUGAGCUCGCGUCUGAUUAGCUAGUUGGUAAGGUAACGGCUUACCAAGGCGACGAUCAGUAGCCGGACUGAGAGGUUGAUCGGCCACAUUGGGACUGAGACACGGCCCAGACUCCUACGGGAGGCAGCAGUGGGGAAUAUUGCACAAUGGAGGAAACUCUGAUGCAGCGAUGCCGCGUGAGGGAAGAAGGUUUUAGGAUUGUAAACCUCUGUCUUUGGGGACGAAAAAUGACGGUACCCAAGGAGGAAGCUCCGGCUAACUACGUGCCAGCAGCCGCGGUAAUACGUAGGGAGCGAGCGUUGUCCGGAAUUACUGGGUGUAAAGGGAGCGUAGGCGGGAUCGCAAGUCAGAUGUGAAAACUAUGGGCUUAACCCAUAAACUGCAUUUGAAACUGUGGUUCUUGAGUGAAGUAGAGGUAAGCGGAAUUCCUAGUGUAGCGGUGAAAUGCGUAGAUAUUAGGAGGAACAUCAGUGGCGAAGGCGGCUUACUGGGCUUUAACUGACGCUGAGGCUCGAAAGCGUGGGGAGCAAACAGGAUUAGAUACCCUGGUAGUCCACGCCGUAAACGAUGAUUACUAGGUGUGGGGGGACUGACCCCUUCCGUGCCGCAGCAAACGCAAUAAGUAAUCCACCUGGGGAGUACGACCGCAAGGUUGAAACUCAAAGGAAUUGACGGGGGCCCGCACAAGCAGUGGAGUAUGUGGAUUAAUUCGAAGCAACGCGAAGAACCUUACCAGGUCUUGACAUCGUAUGCAUAGCUCAGAGAUGAGUGAAAUCUCUUCGGAGACAUAUAGACAGGUGGUGCAUGGUUGUCGUCAGCUCGUGUCGUGAGAUGUUGGGUUAAGUCCCGCAACGAGCGCAACCCUUACUGUUAGUUGCUACGCAAGAGCACUCUAGCAGGACUGCCGUUGACAAAACGGAGGAAGGUGGGGAUGACGUCAAAUCAUCGUGCCCCUUAUGACCUGGGCCUCACACGUACUACAAUGGCUGUCAACAGAGGGAAGCAAAGCCGCGAGGUGGAGCAAACCCCUAAAAGCAGUCUUAGUUCGGAUUGUAGGCUGCAACCCGCCUACAUGAAGUCGGAAUUGCUAGUAAUCGCAGAUCAGCAUGCUGCGGUGAAUACAUUCCCGGGCCU